This 444-nucleotide ribosomal RNA is filed under the name uncultured bacterium. Its description in RNAcentral is "partial 16S ribosomal RNA". It matches the Rfam family "Bacterial small subunit ribosomal RNA", at positions 354 to 796 of the family's 1533-position model. The record is from RNAcentral.
GUAGGGAAUAUUGGGCAAUGGAGGCAACUCUGACCCAGCCAUGCCGCGUGCAGGAUGACGGCCCUCUGGGUUGUAAACUGCUUUUAUACGGGAAGAAAAAUACUACGUGUAGUAUACUGACGGUACCGUAAGAAUAAGGAUCGGCUAACUCCGUGCCAGCAGCCGCGGUAAUACGGAGGAUCCAAGCGUUGUCCGGAUUUAUUGGGUUUAAAGGGUGCGUAGGCGGAUCUUUAAGUCAGUGGUGAAAGCCUGCAGCUUAACUGUAGAAUUGCCAUUGAAACUGAAGAUCUUGAAUGUGGUUAAAGUAGGCGGAAUGUAUCAUGUAGCGGUGAAAUGCUUAGAUAUGAUACAGAACACCGAUAGCGAAGGCAGCUUGCUGAACCAUUAUUGACGCUGAGGCACGAAAGCGUGGGGAGCGAAAAGGAUUAGAUACCCUAGUAGUCC